Molecule: unclassified non-coding RNA, 220 nt
Filed under: Hevea brasiliensis (rubber tree)
Lineage: Eukaryota; Viridiplantae; Streptophyta; Magnoliopsida; Malpighiales; Euphorbiaceae
Source: RNAcentral
GGUCACCUGAACCUAAAAGACAAUAAAAUUUCAGCUUGAUGUCUAUACGUUAGGGCUGGCAGGCUAAGCACAGCAAUUGCGUGAUUGCGUCCUGGACCUUAAAUCUGAAGCCUGAAUAAUUAAAGUGAAAAUUUCCUUCCAACUGUGAUUGGUUUGACCUCUGAAGACUGGAGUUUUUCUUUCUCGUGUUUCAAUGACCUCUUCUCAGAUGAAAUGCAAG